RNAcentral lists this ribosomal RNA (761 nucleotides) under uncultured Inocybe. RNAcentral describes it as "partial 28S ribosomal RNA". It matches the Rfam family "Eukaryotic large subunit ribosomal RNA", at positions 216 to 962 of the family's 3401-position model. Lineage: Eukaryota; Fungi; Basidiomycota; Agaricomycetes; Agaricales; Cortinariaceae. The record is from RNAcentral.
GAAUCCCGUCUUUGACAUGGACUACCUGUGCGCUCAUGGUAUGCUCUCGAAGAGUCGAGUUGUUUGGGAAUGCAGCUCAAAAUGGGUGGUAAAUGCCAUCUAAAGCUAAAUAUUGGCGAGAGACCGAUAGCGAACAAGUACCGUGAGGGAAAGAUGAAAAGUACUUUGGAAAGAGAGUUAAACAGUACGUGAAAUUGCUGAAAGGGAAACGCUUGAAGUCAGUCGCGUUGGCUAGGAAUCAACCCAGCUCCUGCUUGGUGUACUUUCUGGUCGACGGGUCAGCAUCAAUUUUGACCAUUGGAUAAAGUCUUUGGGAAUGUGGCAUCCUUGGAUGUGUUAUAGCCCAUAGUCGCAUACGGUGGUUGGGAUUGAGGAGCUCAGCACGCCGCAAAGGCCGGGUUUCGACCACGAUCGUGCUUAGGAUGCUGGCAUAAUGGCUUUAAUCGACCCGUCUUGAAACACGGACCAAGGAGUCUAACAUGCCUACGAGUGUUUGGGUGGAAAACCCAUGCGCGCAAUGAAAGUGAAAGUUGAGAUCCCCUUCAAACCGGGAGCAUUGACGCCCGGACCAGAGCUUCUGUGACGGAUCCGCGGUAGAGCAUGCAUGUUGGGACCCGAAAGAUGGUGAACUAUGCCUGAAUAGGGUGAAGCCAGAGGAAACUCUGGUGGAGGCUCGUAGCGAUUCUGACGUGCAAAUCGAUCGUCAAAUUUGGGUAUAGGGGCGAAAGACUAAUCGAACCGUCUAGUAGCUGGUUCCUGCC